This 459-nucleotide ribosomal RNA is filed under the name uncultured bacterium. Its description in RNAcentral is "partial 16S ribosomal RNA". It matches the Rfam family "Bacterial small subunit ribosomal RNA", at positions 338 to 795 of the family's 1533-position model. The record is from RNAcentral.
CCUACGGGAGGCAGCAGUGAGGAAUAUUGGUCAAUGGGCGGAAGCCUGAACCAGCCAAGUAGCGUGCGGGAUGAAGGCCCUACGGGUCGUAAACCGCUUUUGCACGGGGAUAACACCCUCCACUUGUGGAGGUCUGCAGGUACCGUGCGAAUAAGGGCCGGCUAAUUCCGUGCCAGCAGCCGCGGUAAUACGGAAGGCCCGAGCGUUAUCCGGAUUCAUUGGGCUUAAAGGGAGCGUAGGCGGGCGUUCAAGUCAGCUGUAAAAUCGCGCGGCUCAACCGCGCCCCGCAGUUGAAACUGGACGCAUUGAGUUCACAACAGGCAGGCGGAAUUCGUGGUGUAGCGGUGAAAUGCAUAGAGAUCACGAGGAACCCCGAUUGCGAAGGCAGCCUGACGGGGUGCGACUGACGCUGAGGCUCGAAGGUGCGGGUAUCAAACAGGAUUAGAUACCCCGGUAGUC